RNAcentral lists this ribosomal RNA (455 nucleotides) under uncultured bacterium. Its description in RNAcentral is "bacterial SSU rRNA". It matches the Rfam family "Bacterial small subunit ribosomal RNA", at positions 29 to 526 of the family's 1533-position model. The record is from RNAcentral.
AACGAACGCUGGCGGCAGGCUUAACACAUGCAAGUCGAACGCUUCAUCUUCGGGUGGGGAGUGGCAGACGGGUGAGUAACACGUGGGAACGUACCCUUCAGUUCGGAAUAACCCUGGGAAACUAGGGCUAAUACCGGAUACGGCCGAGAGGCGAAAGGUUUCUGCUGAGGGAUCGGCCCGCGUCCGAUUAGCUAGUUGGUGUGGUAAUGGCGCACCAAGGCGACGAUCGGUAGCUGGUCUGAGAGGAUGACCAGCCACAUUGGGACUGAGACACGGCCCAAACUCCUACGGGAGGCAGCAGUGGGGAAUAUUGGACAAUGGGCGCAAGCCUGAUCCAGCCAUGCCGCGUGAGUGAUGACGGCCUUAGGGUUGUAAAGCUCUUUUACCUGGGAAGAUAAUGACGGUACCAGGAGAAUAAGCCCCGGCUAACUUCGUGCCAGCCGCCGCGGUAAGAC